GCUGCUUCCUAUGGUACGGUGACUGAAGAUUUCCGGAACCAAAUUGGUAUAAUUUACAGAAGAAGACGACCCGAAAGCAUCACCAGAGAUACAAAAUGUUCUAAAGAGGAAAAAAAUCCUCACAAAAAUCAAAGAUCUGAUCUUCCUAAAACAUUCUAGUUUUUAAGCUAAUACUCAGUUUUUUUUUUUCUUUUUGAGGAUUCGAGAUGAGAGAGGGAAUCGUUUGAGUCUAGCAGCAAGCAAGAGAGUUAGCUGGAAUCGCUCCCUUUCUACCAGUAGGCAACAUUUGAUUGGUGGGCUUCCAAUCUAACUAGGUGCGAUUUGCAUUUGGGGCAGAGCAGAAAUGGAACCCGCAAUAAGUGGGCAUCUACUUUCCUGCUUUUCCCACCCCAAAUCACGAGUGGGUAUGUACAGGAAGUUAUUUUCUCAUGCCAAUGGAAAGACUGAAGAGUUAUGGAAUUGCUGGAGUAUUAUCGUACAGGCCGUUGAAUACUGUCUACUAUAUCACGACAUUUCUCUUGGUUUGGUUAGUGGAUAAUAGAACUUCUUUUUCAUUAAGUGUUUUUGUUUGAAAUAGAAAAUUGAGUUCUCAGAUUAUGUUUUUCGGGUUUGUGUUUGCCGUGUCAUAGUUUUGUUAGCUUGAUGCUGUGUUUCUCCAUACUAUUUACAUGGUUAAAUGCCACUGCUUUUUAUAUGAAUUGCAUGCAUUCCAUUUUAGGACAUAUGGAUGGUUACCCGGUCUCUCUAACUGGUUAAAUGCCACCUUGAUCUAAUUUAUUUGGACAUGAAAACUUAUCUCAGUGUUGGCCAUGUAGAUCUUGUGAACCUAGUCAGCUAGAUGGCUAAUAAUAAUGAGGAAGUCCUGCACAUUAUCAGUAUUCUGUACAUCUGGGUCCCACAAUUCAAUUGAUCCAUAUCUAUUGUUCUCAUGAUGCCUCAAUAGAUGAUGAGGUAAGCCCCAAAAAUAUCCAAGAUUGAUAGGUACUAACUCUUUGAUAUUUGGACAACUUUCUGCUCAGUGUGGACCUUUGCCAUAUUUUCCUCUCAACUCUUUGUUAAGUUAUUGGAUAGAAUCAGAAGUUCAAGCAUAUCAACAGUCAGGACCACCGAAUGAUGGCUUCCAUGUGUACACAAUCCUGUACAUGUGGUUUCUGUAAUAUCAUGAACAUUUGGGGGCCAAUCCGGCGUGGGCUGAUGUGCGGACCAUAUGCUUCCUCCAUAAUAAAUAAGAUUGAAGGUUAUGAGUCAGGCAAAAGAAGAAAUUGAAAAUAGGUUGCAAGGUAUAAAUCAUCAUCAUCAUCAUAGCCUUGUAACAGUCAUUUGGAGCGAGCUUACAAAUCCCGCUUCACCAAUUAUGAGAAUUGAUUGGCAAAACAGGAUUCGUUGAACAAUAUCAUCAUUUCAAUCUGCUAGGAAUGUUGUGUAAUCUCUAGAGGAAUAGGUGUUGAAUAAUCUUGUAUGGAAAGCCAUUAUUGUUCGACCAAUACUUUUUUCCUAUUAAAUAUCAGGACUUGAAAAUCAGGCAUUAUGCGACACUUGGGACAAAAGGGUAUAGUGUUUUGAAUAGCAAAUAAUGUGGAUUGCAGUGUUCACCCCUAUGAACCGUGAAGCAUCUAUAUUUUUAAUUAAAUUGAUAGGAAAAGUAGGCAAAUAUUAAAAUAAAGAAAAAUUAGCAAUAAGUUAUAAAAAAAAUUCUAGAAAAAAAUGCUUGAUUUUCUAGUAAAACCACAUUCAAGACAAAGUAGCAAAAGCUAAACCGACAUAUGUUAAAGCCAAAAUCAAUCACACAAACUAGUUUCUAAACCUACUUUAGGUUAUUUCUUAAUGAAAGACAACAAAAGAUUAAAAAUAUAGUCUCAAACUCUUAACAGGGCACUUGCAAAAGAGCCAAAAGAGAGUUCAGUGUCACAGGUCUUGACUAAUGUAAUAGUUGUCAAGCCGCUUCACAUAUAGACUUAAGGCCUGUUUGGGAGAUGCCUCAAAAUGCAUGAUUCUAAUGCAUAAUUAUUAACUAGAAUGAGAUUAAUUUAUUUUGAGGCAUCUACCAAACAGGCCUUUAGACUCUAGAUUUCAUUUUCCUCAUCUAUAAACUUAUAUUUGCAAGUUAUAAAGGUAAUAAUUUUUGUAUAAUUAAAAAGUCAAACUUGAAAAAGCAUCAUCAAGCUAGGAUGACAUGAUGUCACCAGGUAGUUCUCGUUCAUGCCAGUGUCCUUCACAUAUCUCUAAUCAUGCAUACAAAAGCAUCAUCAAGCUUGCAUUUGUUUUUGUGUAUGGUUCUUUAUUUUUGGCCGGUUCCAAUUAGGACAGUCAACACCAUAUUUUGUCUUAAAACUUCCUUAUUUGUGCUUGUAACAUGCUCCAACAAUUUUGAAGAAUUUUAUCUGGAUGGUCUUUUAGAUAUUUGCACUACAUGUCUCACGUGCUCUCUGUGGCUGUGUAUAACCACUAUAAAAGGAUCUACCAUGCAUCCUUGAACAGGUCUGGGGCAGAAUCGGGGAAUCCUGAGGCAGAAAUUGAUGACAAUGAUUCUGUGGAGCUAGAGAAAAGCAAUGUACUCUUGAUGGGUCCAACCAGCUCUGGAAGCUGGCGUCAAAGUUGAUCUGUUGGGGGAUCUAGAUAUAGAGUCGGAAAGAAAAUUGGGGCAGCUUGUUCUAGAGAAGUAGGAUACCGAGUUCUAUAUACUUCACCGCUAUCCAUUGGCUGUCAGGCCAUUUUACACCAUGCCAUGUUAUGAUGACCCAGCUUACACUCUUUCAUGCCUCACUUACAAAAGGGCCCAUACCUGCAAAAUAUAAGAACUCACCUACAAAGGGUGCUGGGAGAUGACAGUGUUCUAGAUGUCAGGUUUGAGGAGUUGGAUGAAAGCAGACGCGCUUCUCAUAAUGGUUGGUAUCAUCGUAUUGCAAAAGAAGGUAUUCCUGUGGGUUUGUACUGUUAUCAUUUUUUUUUUUGGUAAGUCACAUUGUUCUGUUCUGUUGUAUCAGCUAGGCGGAAUAACAAUAUGAUACAAGGCAUAUCAGACCAUAUCACCUUGAUAUCUUGCAUAAAAAAAUGCAGGAAAAUAUCAGAAAGAAAAAGAAAAUAUCCAAAAGGAAAGGGAAAACAGGAAGAACAUGAAUCUUUCAGUUUAUUAUUAUUAUUAUUAUUAUUUUAUGCAUUUGUGUAUCAGACCAUUCCUUGGUAAUAAUGAUGUUUGUUGGCCUGACCUUUUGGAAUUUUACACACCCAAAACUGGAUGGAUGAAGAUGCUUCAGCAUGCAAGAGCUUGAAGGCAUUUCAAUAUAGGAUAGCUUCCUUAAGGGUGUUUUUUGGUACAUAGAAAUCUUGGCCAUUACUAUGGAAAUGUGAGCUUAUGUUGUUUGGAAAUUCAAUUUUCCGUGGAAAUUUAGUUCCAAUUACAAGUCUCUUUGAUGGAAGAUGCCACUUUUUUCCACAUUGUAGGAGUUGGAAUGUGUGUUUCCUUGGUAACAAACGAAAGCUUCUUUCCAUUACUUUACCAUCUCCAUUCCUCCAUUCUAAGAGCUACUUCCCUCAACGAAAAUCCUGAUGGAGAUCCAAAUGAACAUGGGUUCUCCAUCAAUUACAAUGACUGAAUACAAAUGCAUAACCAUUACAACACCCUUUCUUUAGAGACCAGCUUUUGCAUGCUUUCACAGUCCUCUACCUUGACAGGAAUGCCCCACCCACACUUUGUGGCGCUAUUGAAUCGUGUUAGGAACCGGGAGCUUCCCAACAAAUCCUUUUUUUUUUUUUUUAACAUUGUUAGACCAUCUAAUCAUUUUUUUAGUAAGGGAAAUGUUGGUAAUGUUUUCUUAGGAGAAAAGGAAAUUAACGUUGUAUUCUCUUUG
Magnolia sinica is the source of this 3848-nucleotide RNA transcript. It is a transcript of the gene named CLP protease regulatory subunit CLPX1, mitochondrial-like, with no coding region annotated. The transcript has 7 exons. The record is from RefSeq and is a predicted model, not a curated record. Lineage: Eukaryota; Viridiplantae; Streptophyta; Magnoliopsida; Magnoliales; Magnoliaceae.